Triticum aestivum (bread wheat) is the source of this 296-nucleotide long non-coding RNA. RefSeq lists it as uncharacterized. The record is from RefSeq and is a predicted model, not a curated record. Lineage: Eukaryota; Viridiplantae; Streptophyta; Magnoliopsida; Poales; Poaceae. The transcript has 4 exons.
AAACGUCAUCCGGCUAACAAACUCCCUCAACUCUCUCUUAAACGGCCAGCCUCUUUCUUCUCUUUUUCUUGGACCAACUAGAAUACGUCGGAGACGACGUCUGAUUCCGUCCGGCCGGCCGUAAUCCCAGACUAUUUUCUUAAUCCCUCAUGAGAUGCACUUCCGUAUGGGCAAGUGUUGAUUCGUCCAGCUUCGGUGCAGAGAGACAGGGACACUAGGAUACGGUUUGGAAUCUUUCUUAGAUACUACCUCUCGUUGCAGACCGUGUACCUUGGGAUCAUCACUUCCACCUUGGU